This 366-nucleotide long non-coding RNA is filed under the name Trifolium pratense (red clover). Its description in RNAcentral is "long non-coding RNA (TPRA_LNC009369)". The record is from RNAcentral. Lineage: Eukaryota; Viridiplantae; Streptophyta; Magnoliopsida; Fabales; Fabaceae.
CAAAACAUGAGGAAUGUUAAGGGACAAACAGCAAAAGCUGAGAAAAUACAAGUGCAUAAAAAACAAACCGCUGGGAACAUAACAGCAAGCACAAAAAUCCAGCCAAACAAAAAGCUUAUAACAAAGGAGGAGAACGCAGGAAAAACACUAAGGGGGUAACAACAAAGGAGGACUACAAGUCACACAACAGCAAGUAGAAAUUAGCGCUGCAUACACUCCAACGGACACCAAUUCCAUUCAUACAGUACUAAAUCAACAAUGUGAAUUAAUAAGAGAGUAUGCAAAUAACAAGGAUCAACUAUCAUAACUUUCGGCAAGUUUCAAAAUUUACAGUUUCAUUGAUUCAACCAUUAUAAAUUUGAUAAG